UGCAGUCGACGAUGAACCACUUCGGUGGGGAUUAGUGGCGAACGGGUGAGUAACACGUGGGCAAUCUGCCCUUCACUCUGGGACAAGCCCUGGAAACGGGGUCUAAUACCGGAUAACACUCCUGCCCGCAUGGGUGGGGGUUAAAAGCUCCGGCGGUGAAGGAUGAGCCCGCGGCCUAUCAGCUUGUUGGUGAGGUAGUGGCUCACCAAGGCGACGACGGGUAGCCGGCCUGAGAGGGCGACCGGCCACACUGGGACUGAGACACGGCCCAGACUCCUACGGGAGGCAGCAGUGGGGAAUAUUGCACAAUGGGCGAAAGCCUGAUGCAGCGACGCCCGCGUGAGGGAUGACGGCCUUCGGGUUGUAAACCUCUUUCAGCAGGGAAGAAGCGAAAGUGACGGUACCUGCAGAAGAAGCGCCGGCUAACUACGUGCCAGCAGCCGCGGUAAUACGUAGGGCGCAAGCGUUGUCCGGGAAUUAUUGGGCGUAAAGAGCUCGUAGGGCGGCUUGUCACGUCGGGUGUGAAAGCCCGGGGCUUAACCCCGGGUCUGCAUUCGGAUACGGGGCUAGCUAGAGUGUGGUAGGGGAGAUCGGAAUUCCUGGUGUAGCGGGUGAAAUGCGCAGAUAUCAGGAGGAACACGGGUGGCGAAGGCGGAUCUCUGGGCCAUUACUUGACGCUGAGGAGCGAAAGCGUGGGGAGCGAACAGGAUUAGAUACCCCUGUAGUC
This 727-nucleotide ribosomal RNA is filed under the name Streptomyces sp. Its description in RNAcentral is "bacterial SSU rRNA". It matches the Rfam family "Bacterial small subunit ribosomal RNA", at positions 56 to 795 of the family's 1533-position model. The record is from RNAcentral. Lineage: Bacteria; Bacillati; Actinomycetota; Actinomycetes; Kitasatosporales; Streptomycetaceae.